GAUGAAGAACGUAGCGAAAUGCGAUACGUAAUGUGAAUUGCAGAAUUCAGUGAAUCAUCGAAUCUUUGAACGCAUAUUGCGCUCUCUGGUAUUCCGGAGAGCAUGCUUGUUUGAGUAUCAGUAAACACCUCAACUUCCAUAUCUUUUUUGAAAUGGGAGUUGGACUUAAGUGAUCCCAACGCUUUUCCUCACCGAAAAGUGGCGGGUUACUUGAAAUGCAGGUGCAGCUGGACUUUUCUCUGAGCUAUAAGCAUAUCUAUUUAGUCUGCCUAAAAAACAGAUUAUUACCUUUGCUGCAGCUAACAUAAAGGAGAUUAGUUCUUGUGCUGACUGAUGCAGGAUUCACAAAGACGGCUUCGGCCGACUUUGUAAACUCGAUCUCAAAUCAAGUAAGACUACCCGCUGAACUUAAGCAUAUCAAUAAGCGGAGGA
Molecule: unclassified non-coding RNA, 432 nt
Filed under: soil metagenome
Description: partial contains 5.8S ribosomal RNA, internal transcribed spacer 2, and large subunit ribosomal RNA
Rfam family: 5.8S ribosomal RNA (bases 1-120)
Source: RNAcentral